Molecule: long non-coding RNA, 2585 nt
Organism: Neopelma chrysocephalum (saffron-crested tyrant-manakin)
Lineage: Eukaryota; Metazoa; Chordata; Aves; Passeriformes; Pipridae
Exons: 3
Source: RefSeq, a predicted model, not a curated record
CUCGCUCUCACUCGCGCACACACACACAAACCCGAUCAGAUGCUUCAGGACCGGCCACUUUGCGAGGGGAACAACACGGGAGGGUUUGUAUUACUCCAGGUGCCUGACAGGGCUGGCCGGGAAGAACUGCUGACCUGUCUAAAGAAAUAUAUGUGCGUCUCCUGGAAUGGCAGGACAGAUGGUGCCCGUUCGCGCCGCGGCGACUUCUCUCGAUGGCACACCGAGCGGAGCUGAUGAGUGGAAAUGGACUACGAAAAAGUUUAGACCAUGAGGUAAUUAUAAAAACCAAUAUAGCGAUUUUGAAAGAGAGACUCACUUCGCAAUUUUGCACCGAGGAGCAAAAUAUUCUGGCGAAGUCUGGGGUCAUCACCGACAAUGGAGCAAUGUUCCCUCCCUGUUUAAUAUACAUGGUGUGGGAAAUGGACGGAAGAUAUAGCUAGCACCUGUAGUGCCAAAGGAAAAAAAAAUCAAAUUACUACAUCAUAUUUUGGGGCUAUUUUGCAGGACAUUCUUCAAAAAUAGACCCAUAUUUAAUUAUAUCUCUAAUGAUUUUCUCUGUGAGACUGCUAGUUAAUAGUAAGGAGGAAAUGGGUUUUCUACCGAGUUUUUGCAUUUUGAUAUCUUAAAAAAAAAAAAAAAAAUCUUAUGUGUUAAUAGCGCACCUGGGACUGCAAGCGACCGAACUGGGCCAACUUUUAAUUAACAUGCUGACCUGCCGAAGAAGCAAAACUCCCUUUAAAAAGAAAAAAAAAAAACCCCAACCAAAAAUUUAUACCUACACAUACACUGCCGUAUCGGCAUGACCCUGGAAACCUCAGGGCUCUCCUCCCCCUUUUUUGGGGGCAAGGAUGUGAUCUUCGAAAGGGACGAGGAGAUGCGCAAGUUAAGCACCCGCCCGCCUUCCCUCCCAGGGGCCGCGGCCGCCCGCGCAGCCCCUGCUCAAGCUGCGCGGGCGGAGGCGGCUUCGGGAGGGGGAAGGCGGGCAAAGGGGGGGGAGUAUGACCGGUGUCCCCGAGCAGCGUGUGCGAGGAAAAGGCCGUGGCAGAAAGGGGGAAGAUCUGGGCUCUUUGAGAGGUGCGGUACAAACACCAGCGCGGGGUGACUACAAGCUCAUGCGUGGGUGCUACAAGCUCCAGAGCCUGUUCGGCGGCUCCCCCAUGUGAAGCACAAAGAGAGGUCACCAACCUGAAAGAUUAACUUAUUUUCUCUAUGCUUUUGCCUCGUCAAUGCUUAUUUUCCUUCCCUGUUAAAUUAAUUUUAUUUUUAAAAUGGAUUUGAUUUUUUUAUUCCCAUGCAUACUUCAGGCAGGCUAGAUGCCUGACUUGCCCCCCACCGCACCCCAAACUGGCACUGGAGUACGUUAGUACGGGGUUACACUUUAACUUCUCUGCAGGUAAUAAUUAAAGAGCUUCUUUCUAAAUCUCUUUCCCCCACCGAAGCUCUCUUUCGCAAUAGAUUAUAUUGAUCACACACAGGGGCACAACUCUCCUCGGAGCCACCGUCUGUGAGCUGCUCUUAAUUCAGUGCACUCUGCGUAACUUCUCCCAGAUCUUCUCCUAACUUUUUCUCAAGCUGAAAGGUUUCUUCAGGAACGCAUUUAUAAAUCCCCCCAAGAGAAAGCUCCACAUGCAAAAGGGGACUGAUAGUCAUUCAGAUGCACACCAGCAGGCUUUGGCCAUACAUUUGAAUUUUGUCCCAUAGUGGCAUUGUGGGUGAAUUUAAAAACAAUAGAUAUAGAGGGAACAAAGUCAUCUGACAUUAGUAAGGGAGUAUCUUUGUCGAGUGGGAAGAACUCCAACUUCUUCUAGUAGUGACACUUUCCAAAGAAAACCUUCAGCCUUGUCCUAACAGCCAUAUUGAAAGUUUUAGGGGCUCUGAGUUACUUUAGAUCAUAAAUUAAUCUGCCAGAGAAGUGCGGUACACACCUGAUAUCAAGGAAGGGUCAAGAGCUGGCCAGUUCCAGCUGGUCCUGCAUUUGAUUUACUUCAGGCUGUUAAGAUGUAUGCUGUAGUGUUUUGAUAAGAAAAAAGGAGUCAGCAGUUUGAUUUGGCAAUUCUUUCUUUUCUUUUUCUUUUUUUUUUCUUUUUUUUUUCUUUUUUUUUUUUCUCCUCUGAAGAGAGCCACAGUUUAAGCUAAGGAAUUUGUUGUUGCUAUUGGGGUGGUUUUUAGCAGAGGUUCUCAGUUUGCAUGGGGCUAUCUCAUCGCUUACUGUUAACACUUAACUAUGUUUAUUACUUUCCAAAGUGAGCCAGACAGUGGCAUGAACUUUUACUCAGCUUGUCUACCUCAGGCCUCCAGCACCUCUGGACUGUGCCUUUCCUGGGAUUCACCCCAGCCAGAGAACUUGGAGCAACAGCAAAGGCAGUGGCCAUCACCCAAUGGGUCACAUCAGCAACCUAAUCUGCCUCAGUGGAGCCCUACCACAGCUUUCCCCUCACGCCUCUCUUUUCCACAAGGCGUUGCCCAUGAGUUUCAUCAAGUGCCUCAGAAAUAUUUGAAUUUAGUUUUAUUUUACUGAACAGAUUCACAAGCUGAAUGUGGGAGGCUGGUUGUUCUUGGCUGAAUUAAACUAUUAUUUGAAAAUA